Molecule: ribosomal RNA, 397 nt
Filed under: uncultured bacterium
Lineage: Bacteria
Description: partial 16S ribosomal RNA
Rfam family: Bacterial small subunit ribosomal RNA
Source: RNAcentral
AUACGUAGGGGGCGAGCGUUGUCCGGAAUGAUUGGGCGUAAAGGGCGCGUAGGCGGCCCGGUAAGUCUGGAGUGAAAGUCCUGUUUUUAAGAUGGGAAUUGCUUUGGAUACUGUCGGGCUUGAGUGCAGAAGAGGUAAGUGGAAUUCCCAGUGUAGCGGUGAAAUGCGUAGAGAUUGGGAGGAACACCAGUGGCGAAGGCGACUUACUGGACUGUAACUGACGCUGAGGCGCGAAAGUGUGGGGAGCAAACAGGAUUAGAUACCCUGGUAGUCCACACUGUAAACGAUGAAUGCUGGGUGUAGGGGGUAUCGACCCCUUCUGUGCCGCAGUCAACACAAUAAGCAUUCCGCCUGGGGAGUGCGGCCGCAAGGUUGAAACUCAAAUGAAUUGGCGGGG